Non-coding RNA from Cajanus cajan (pigeon pea), 758 nucleotides. NCBI's taxonomy places the organism in Eukaryota, Viridiplantae, Streptophyta, Magnoliopsida, Fabales, Fabaceae. The record is from RefSeq and is a predicted model, not a curated record.
GAGCCCAAUAAGGUCCUUAAGGAUGAGGGGUUAGAAGUGAGGGGUCACUUAACCAUAACCUCUUAAGGAUGAAGAGAGAGUCCAAGGAGAGACUCUCUAAGAAAAACCAAAAAUUUUCUUCUCUUCGUUGUUGAAUGUUACUUGCAACUGACCUGUAGUACUAAAGGAGGGAACUCGUAGGCCGAAGCUCUCAAGUCAUGCGAAACCAUCAUACUUUCCAUUUUCCUCUUUUGAUUUGGAUUCUUCAAGAGGUUUGGUCACUUAAAGCGCUCAUGGGGCUGGCUCACUCCAAGCGAGCUUGGAUGGUUAUUCAAAGAUGCUCCAAAACAAAUUUCAGACACUCAAAACAAGCUUUGAUCUCUCAAAGUGAAUGUGUUAGGCAUUCCGAGCGAAUUCCAAUCGCUCAUCAAAGUUUCUUUCAUAAAGCAAACGCAAUGUUGAAGUGUGUGGAGCAGAUUAACGGAGUAGAAGAGAUGGUAAGCAAAUAGCAAUGAAGAAGGAAAUAAGGGUAUGGACCCCUUUGGGGCCAAAAAGAAGGAAAAGAAGUUUGAGAAAAUGAAUGAAAAAGGACAAAAAUGUAUGUGAUGCGCAGGAGCAAGUUGAACAAAGAAAGCAUGUUUUAGAACAUUCUAUCUUCGUUAGAUGAGAUAUUUUUGCAAAAGCUGUAUGUGAGACAACCCCGUCAUACAUAUACAUAUUUGUUCUUUUGCUUUUAAAUCCUUUGCUGGAAACUAUAUAUGCAAAUGACAUUCUCUAUA